CAAGAUUUGAUCUUGCAUUCACUCUCGGACUCCUUCUCAUAAUUGUUGUGAAUUUUUACAUGAACGACCUAGAUGUUAGCCUCACUGAUUUGCUUAACAUGUUGAAAACUGUUGAGAGUCACUUUUAACCAAGAAAGACCAAGUCUUACUGGUAGGGACCAAAGGAUUUUCUAAAAAGAAGAAAGAUUCAAAGAAGGUAAAUAGAAAGGCAAAACAAAGGAUAAUAAGAACAAAACUGAUACGGAUAACAAAAGAGUUUGUUUCCAUUGCAAUAAGCCUGGACAUUAGAAAAGAAACUGGGAGAAGCAUCUUGUAGAGGCUAAGCAGAAGAAACUUAGUGAAGCUUCAGUUACAUAUACAG
Molecule: long non-coding RNA, 361 nt
Filed under: Panax ginseng (ginseng)
Lineage: Eukaryota; Viridiplantae; Streptophyta; Magnoliopsida; Apiales; Araliaceae
Description: long non-coding RNA (PGIN_LNC003598)
Source: RNAcentral